GUACUGUGCAAACGUUAUUCGGAAUCACUGGGCUUAAAGGGUGCGUAGGCGGGCUAAGCAAGUAGGGAUGUGAAAUCUUCCGGCUCAACCGGAAAACUGCGUUCUAAACUGCUUGGCUUGAGUGAGAUAGGGGUGUGCGGAACUUCCAGUGGAGCGGUGAAAUGUGUUGAUAUUGGAAGGAACGCCGUUAGCGAAAGCGGCACACUGGGUCUCAACUGACGCUGAGGCACGAAAGCCAGGGUAGCGAACGGGAUUAGAUACCCCGGUAGUCCUGGCUGUAAACGUUGAGCACUAGUCGGGAGGGACUUCGGUCCAUCCGGACGUAGCGAAAGCGAUAAGUGCUCCGCCUGGGGAGUAUGGUCGCAAGGCUG
RNAcentral lists this ribosomal RNA (371 nucleotides) under uncultured organism. RNAcentral's name for it is "partial 16S ribosomal RNA". It matches the Rfam family "Bacterial small subunit ribosomal RNA", at positions 527 to 896 of the family's 1533-position model. The record is from RNAcentral.